This 253-nucleotide ribosomal RNA is filed under the name uncultured bacterium. RNAcentral's name for it is "partial 16S ribosomal RNA". It matches the Rfam family "Bacterial small subunit ribosomal RNA", at positions 524 to 776 of the family's 1533-position model. The record is from RNAcentral.
UACGUAGGGGGCAAGCGUUGUCCGGAUUUAUUGGGCGUAAAGAGCGUGUAGGCGGUCAGGUAGGUCCGUUGUGAAAACUCGAGGCUCAACCUCGAGACGCCGAUGGAAACCAUCUGACUAGAGUCCGGAAGAGGAGAGUGGAAUUCCUGGUGUAGCGGUGAAAUGCGCAGAUAUCGGGAGGAACACCAGUGGCGAAGGCGAGUCUCUGGGAUGAUGCUGACGCUGAGGCGCGGAAGCCAGGGGAGCAAACAGG